This 74-nucleotide transfer RNA is filed under the name Actinomadura kijaniata. RNAcentral describes it as "tRNA-Trp". It matches the Rfam family "tRNA". Rfam says of the family: Transfer RNA (tRNA) molecules are approximately 80 nucleotides in length. Their secondary structure includes four short double-helical elements and three loops (D, anti-codon, and T loops). The record is from RNAcentral. Lineage: Bacteria; Bacillati; Actinomycetota; Actinomycetes; Streptosporangiales; Thermomonosporaceae.
AGGAGUGAGCCACACUGGAUAGGCGGCUGGUCUCCAAAACCAGCGGAAUGCAGGUUCGAUUCCUGCCACUCCUG